UACGAAGGGGGCUAGCGUUGUUCGGAAUCACUGGGCGUAAAGGGCGCGUAGGCGGCUUUAUAAGUCGGGGGUGAAAGCCUGUGGCUCAACCACAGAAUUGCCUUCGAUACUGUAGAGCUUGAGACCGGAAGAGGUAAGUGGAACUGCGAGUGUAGAGGUGAAAUUCGUAGAUAUUCGCAAGAACACCAGUGGCGAAGGCGGCUUACUGGUCCGGUUCUGACGCUGAGGCGCGAAAGCGUGGGGAGCGAUCCGG
This 253-nucleotide ribosomal RNA is filed under the name uncultured bacterium. Its description in RNAcentral is "partial 16S ribosomal RNA". It matches the Rfam family "Bacterial small subunit ribosomal RNA", at positions 524 to 776 of the family's 1533-position model. The record is from RNAcentral.